RNAcentral lists this ribosomal RNA (254 nucleotides) under uncultured bacterium. RNAcentral describes it as "partial 16S ribosomal RNA". It matches the Rfam family "Bacterial small subunit ribosomal RNA", at positions 524 to 777 of the family's 1533-position model. The record is from RNAcentral.
UACGGAGGGUGCGAGCGUUAUCCGGAAUCACUGGGCGUAAAGGGUGCGUAGGCGGGUCUUUAAGUCAGGGGUGAAAUCCUGGCGCUCAACUCCAGAACUGCCUUUGAUACUGAGGAUCUUGAGUUCGGGAGAGGUGAGUGGAACUGCGAGUGUAGAGGUGAAAUUCGUAGAUAUUCGCAAGAACACCAGUGGCGAAGGCGGCUCACUGGCCCGAUACUGACGCUGAGGCACGAAAGCGUGGGGAGCAAACAGGG